RNAcentral lists this long non-coding RNA (631 nucleotides) under Citrus sinensis (sweet orange). RNAcentral describes it as "long non-coding RNA (CSIN_LNC005519)". The record is from RNAcentral. Lineage: Eukaryota; Viridiplantae; Streptophyta; Magnoliopsida; Sapindales; Rutaceae.
CAAGUCUUAUUGAAUACGUUGGGUCGGAAGCCAGAGGAAGCGACUGUUGUGAUGAUGAGGAACAGCAACAACGGCCUAAAGAGUUAGAGAACUCAAAUAAAAGGUGAAGCUUACGUAUUAUUCUCUGGAUUUGUCAGCCAGUGUGCAUUUGAACACAAUUUCAGUUUAUGAAUUUUGUCAAGAGUUGAAUUUUGCGAUUUCUCAUUAGUUGAAAAGUAAUGAAAGAGGGGCAAAAAAAACUUACAAGACUGAAAUGAAUCCUCUGUUUUUUUGAUUUUUUAUAAAUAUAGUACACAUUUAACUGAAAACCAUUAAUUUUACAACAACAGUACCUUUAUUUUAUUUGCAUCAAAGGCAUGAAAAUGACUCGCUGAGGGGUUUUGAUCUUGAAUGAGAUGAGGAGUUAACUAUGAGGUAAUGACUCACAAUCUUACAUUCCCUACUUAUUGCACGAAAGAUGCCGGAUGCAGAGCUAGUUUUCGGUAUACUUGAAGGGGCUGCGUAAUGAUUGAUUUAUAAAGGAAAAUGGAAUGUAAUAAUAAAUGUAAGAUUAAAAUUUUUCUAGUGGUGUUUAGAAGAUUUUCAAUGUUUAAACAGCUAAGCUAGCCUUACCAUAAGGAUCAUAUCAUAU